Molecule: ribosomal RNA, 253 nt
Filed under: uncultured bacterium
Lineage: Bacteria
Description: partial 16S ribosomal RNA
Rfam family: Bacterial small subunit ribosomal RNA
Source: RNAcentral
UACAGAGGGUGCAAGCGUUGUUCGGAAUUAUUGGGCGUAAAGGGCGCGUAGGCGGUGCGGUAAGUCUGCAGUGAAAUCUCUGGGCUCAACUCAGAGUCUGCUGUAGAAACUGCCGUGCUUGAGUGUGGGAGAGGUGAGUGGAAUUCCUGGUGUAGCGGUGAAAUGCGCAGAUAUCAGGAGGAACACCAAUGGCGAAGGCAGCACUCUGGGACGUGACUGACGCUGAGACGCGAAAGCGUGGGGAGCAAACAGG